GCAGACCAAGUGGCUUAAGGGUAGAAUCCGCCAAGCUUUGAGAGAAGGCUGUGACUGCUGUGCUCUGGGCGCCAGCUCGCUCCAGGGAGUGAUGGGAAUCCUGUCAUUCUUACCUGUCCUUGCCACUGAGAGUGACUGGGCUGACUGCAAGUCCCCCCAGCCUUGGGGUCAUAUGCUUCUGUGGACAGCUGUGCUAUUCCUGGCUCCUGUUGCUGGGACACCUGCAGCUCCCCCAAAGGCUGUGCUGAAACUCGAGCCCCAGUGGAUCAACGUGCUCCAGGAGGACUCUGUGACUCUGACAUGCCGGGGGACUCACAGCCCUGAGAGCGACUCCAUUCAGUGGUUCCACAAUGGGAAUCUCAUUCCCACCCACACGCAGCCCAGCUACAGGUUCAAGGCCAACAACAAUGACAGCGGGGAGUACACGUGCCAGACUGGCCAGACCAGCCUCAGCGACCCUGUGCAUCUGACUGUGCUUUCUGAAUUGAAAAGCACAGACCACAACUGAAUCCUAGCCCUGGAAAUGACUCACUAUACAACAUGAUGAAUUCAUUUAACCCUUGAGUUUCCAUUUCUUCACCUGCUCCGUGGGGCACUAACGCCUCCCUCAGAGGCUUCUGAGUGGCUGGUGCUCCAGACCCCUCACCUGGAGUUCCAGGAGGGAGAAACCAUCGUGCUGAGGUGCCACAGCUGGAAGGACAAGCCUCUGGUCAAGGUCACAUUCUUCCAGAAUGGAAAAUCCAAGAAAUUUUCCCGUUCGGAUCCCAACUUCUCCAUCCCACAAGCAAACCACAGUCACAGUGGUGAUUACCACUGCACAGGAAACAUAGGCUACACGCUGUACUCAUCCAAGCCUGUGACCAUCACUGUCCAAGCUCCCAGCUCUUCACCGAUGGGGAUCAUUGUGGCUGUGGUCACUGGGAUUGCUGUAGCGGCCAUUGUUGCUGCUGUAGUGGCCUUGAUCUACUGCAGGAAAAAGCGGAUUUCAGCUCUCCCAGGAUACCCUGAGUGCAGGGAAAUGGGAGAGACCCUCCCUGAGAAACCAGCCAAUCCCACUAAUCCUGAUGAGGCUGACAAAGUUGGGGCUGAGAACACAAUCACCUAUUCACUUCUCAUGCACCCGGAUGCUCUGGAAGAGCCUGAUGACCAGAACCGUAUUUAGUCUCCAUUGUCUUGCAUUGGGAUUUGAGAAGAAAAUCAGAGAGGGAAGAUCUGGUAUUUCCUGGCCUAAAUUCCCCUUGGGGAGGACAGGGAGAUGCUGCAGUUCCAAAAGAGAAGGUUUCUUCCAGAGUCAUCUACCUGAGUCCUGAAGCUCCCUGUCCUGAAAGCCACAGACAAUAUGGUCCCAAAUAACCGACUGCACCUUCUGUGCUUCAGCUCUUCUUGACAUCAAGGCUCUUCCGUUCCACAUCCACACAGCCAAUCCAAUUAAUCAAACCACUGUUAUUAACAGAUAAUAGCAACUUGGGAAAUGCUUAUGUUACAGGUUACGUGAGAACAAUCAUGUAAAUCUAUAUGAUUUCAGAAAUGUUAAAAUAGACUAACCUCUACCAGCACAUUAAAAGUGAUUGUUUCUGGGUGAUAAAAUUAUUGAUGAUUUUUAUUUUCUUUAUUUUUCUAUAAAGAUCAUAUAUUACUUUUAUAAUAAAACAUUAUAAAAACAACAUUCUGUUUACCUUUUCAAGGCUGUAUUGGUUGGAGUGUAGACUGAACUGCCUGGGGUCUGUUUCUCUUCAGUGAUGAGACUCUUAGGAAGGCAGGAAUGGAUAGGAUAGGGGGAGGAGAGGAGAGAUGGGGAUUUAGAAUGUAGAGUGAGUGCCCCUUUUCUUAAAACUGAAUACAGUCACGCACCACAUAAUGAUGUUUAGUUCAACAACAGACUGCAUAUAUGAUGGUGAUCCCAUAAAAUUAUAAUACCAUAUUUCUAUUGUACCUUUUCUAUUCCUAUGUUUAGAUAUAUGAGUACUUACCAUUGUGUUACAAUUGCCUAAAGUAUUCAGUACAGUAGCAUGCUGUACAGGUUUGUAGCCUAGGGGCAAUAGGCUAUACGCUACAGCCUAGGUGUGUAGUAGGCCACACCAUUUAGGUUUGUAUAAGUACCUGCUAUGAUGUUCACACAACAAAAUUGCCUGCAUUUCUCAAAAUGUAUCCCCAUAUUUCAACAAUGCAUGACUGUACUCUUCUGCCAAUGACCUUGUAUUCUUGUUUCCAUGUCUUCUUCUCUUUCCUCCUAUGGCAAAUAAAACACUGUUUUGCAACACAA
Homo sapiens (human) is the source of this 2263-nucleotide RNA transcript. It is a transcript of the gene named Fc gamma receptor IIb, with no coding region annotated. NCBI's taxonomy places the organism in Eukaryota, Metazoa, Chordata, Mammalia, Primates, Hominidae. The transcript has 10 exons. The record is from RefSeq and is marked reviewed.